Molecule: ribosomal RNA, 394 nt
Filed under: uncultured bacterium
Lineage: Bacteria
Description: partial 16S ribosomal RNA
Rfam family: Bacterial small subunit ribosomal RNA
Source: RNAcentral
AUACGGAGGAUGCAAGCGUUAUCCGGAUUUAUUGGGUUUAAAGGGUGCGUAGGCGGAUGAUUAAGCGUGAGGUGAAAUGCCACUGCUCAACAGUGGAACUGCCUCGCGAACUGGUUGUCUUGAAUGCUCCUGCCGUGGGAGGAAUGUGUGGUGUAGCGGUGAAAUGCAUAGAGAUCACACAGAACACCGUUUGCGAAGGCAUCUCACGAAGGGGUGAUUGACGCUGAGGCACGAAAGCGUGGGGAUCAAACAGGAUUAGAUACCCUGGUAGUCCACGCAGUAAACGAUGAUAACUAACCGCUGGGUCGUAGUGAUUCAGUGGCCAAGCGAAAGCGAUAAGUUAUCCACCUGGGGAGUACGACCGCAAGGUUGAAACUCAAAUGAAUUGACAGGG